Molecule: ribosomal RNA, 401 nt
Filed under: uncultured Porphyromonadaceae bacterium
Lineage: Bacteria; Pseudomonadati; Bacteroidota; Bacteroidia; Bacteroidales; Porphyromonadaceae
Description: bacterial SSU rRNA
Rfam family: Bacterial small subunit ribosomal RNA
Source: RNAcentral
UGAGGAAUAUUGGGUCAAUGGGCGCGAGCCUGAACCAGCCAAGUCGCGUGAGGGAAGACGGCCCUACGGGUUGUAAACCUCUUUUGCCGGGGAGCAACGCUGCGGACGUGUCCGCAGGUGAGAGUACCCGGAGAAAAAGCAUCGGCUAACUCCGUGCCAGCAGCCGCGGUAAUACGGAGGAUGCGAGCGUUAUCCGGAUUUAUUGGGUUUAAAGGGUGCGUAGGCCGGCUGUCAAGUCAGCGGUAAAAAUUCGGGGCUCAACCCCGUAAAGCCGUUGAAACUGGCGGUCUUGAGUAGCGGCGAGGCAUGCGGAAUGCGAGGUGUAGCGGUGAAAUGCAUAGAUAUCACGCAGAACUCCGAUUGCGAAGGCAGCAUGCCAGCCGCCGACUGACGCUGAGGCA